RNAcentral lists this ribosomal RNA (459 nucleotides) under uncultured bacterium. RNAcentral's name for it is "partial 16S ribosomal RNA". It matches the Rfam family "Bacterial small subunit ribosomal RNA", at positions 338 to 795 of the family's 1533-position model. The record is from RNAcentral.
CCUACGGGAGGCAGCAGUGCGGAAUAUUGGUCAAUGGGAGAGAUCCUGCACCAGCCAAGCCGCGUGAGGGAAGACGGCCCUAUGGGUUGUAAACCUCUUUUGUCGGAGAACAAAACCCGGGACGUGUCCCGGACUGCGUGUAUCCGAAGAAAAAGCAUCGGCUAACUCCGUGCCAGCAGCCGCGGUAAUACGGAGGAUGCGAGCGUUAUCCGGAUUUAUUGGGUUUAAAGGGUGCGGAGGCGGUCCGUUAAGUCAGCGGGAAAAUUGCGGGGCUCAACCCCGUCGAGCCGUUGAAACUGGCAGACUUGAGUUGGCGAGAAGUACGCGGAAUGCGCGGUGUAGCGGUGAAAUGCAUAGAUAUCGCGCAGAACUCCGAUUGCGAAGGCAGCGUACCGGCGCCAGACUGACGCUGAGGCACGAAAGCGUGGGGAUCGAACAGGAUUAGAUACCCCAGUAGUC